UUUAUGGCUAGCUAGGUCCUACACAAGUUCGACCUAGCCACAAUAUCGAAUGGAGGCUUGAGUCAGGCAUGCCUGUGCAUGCAGAUGCAUCUGUAGCACUAUCACCACUUGACCUUGACAAGCCUGAAUAGCUCCAAUGAUGGUAGGGUCCUCCCUGUUGUGACCAUGAGCAUGAGUGCCUGCAAUUUAGGAAAGAACUUGAGGUCUAACGUACCUUGCUGGUAGUGCACAUGAUGGCAGGGUCAGCUCUAGGCCAUGGCAAAAGAUGAGACGACCCAGGGCCCAGUCAAAACAAGGCCCCAUGAUAUCAUCAGGGGCGGAGUCAGGAAAUUUUGCCAAUGGGUUCACUCCAGGGGCAGGCCCACCUCAAUUCAAAGGUAUUCAGUUGAAUACCAAUUAUUCUUGUGAAAAAACUAGAUGUAUAUAGUGUAUACAAAAUGUACAUACAGGAAAAAACAAAACUGAUGCACUUAAACGUUCUACAUAAGCGUUUCAGCCCCAAAAGAGAGGCUAGACCAGCUCCUACUCAUCCUCACCACCCACGACAUGGCUCAUAGGCCCAAUUUGCUUCAGGUUGCACUGUGCGGUGUGCGCAGGAAAUUCCUAUUUGCCGCUCGUUGCGGCAAGUAGUCGACGCGCCGCACAGGGGCAGAUCGUCGAGCGUUCCGAUGGGCCCGCCCGUUCAAACUUUGCGCGAAUCCAGUUUUGGGAAGGUGGUUCCCAGCCGGUUUUUUCUGGUUUUGGGAACCUUCUAGGAUGUUCCUGAACCAGUUUUUAUAUUUUCCCCCUUUUCUGUUUUUCUUUCUUUCUUUUUCUAUUUCUUUUUCUUUUUCGUUUAAAUUUUUUCUUUCCUUUUUCUGUUUUUUCUUUGCUUUGCUCUUUCCUUUUUCCCUUUUUCAUGAAUCUUUUCUUUGAGAAUUUCAAAUAUUUAUUCAGAAUUUUAUGACAUGCUCUUGUUUUCAAAAUUUACUCUUAAUUUCAAAAACAUGUUCAAGAAUUUCAUAAAAUGUUCCCGUUUUUAAAUUUUGUUCACAAUUUCAAAAAAUGUUCGUGUUUCAAAAAGACUUUCAGGAAUUUCAAAAAAGUUCUUGUUUUAAAUUUUGUUUACAAUUCUCAAAAAAUGUUCUUUUUUCAAAUAUUUGUUAUGUUCAUGUUUUGAAAAAAAUGUUCAUGUUUUGAAAAAAAUGUUCAUGAUUUCAGAAAAUGUGUCCGUUUUCAUCUUUUGUUCACAAUUAAAAUAUUCUUGUUUUAAAUUUUGUUCACAAUUUCAAAAAAUGUUCUCGUUCUAAAAUAUUUUUUACGUUCAUGUUUUGAGAAAAUGGUCAAGAAUUCCAUAAAAUGUUCUUGUUUUCAAAUUUUGUUCACAAUUUCAAAAAAUGUUUGUGUUUCCAAAGUCAUUCAGGAAUUUCAAAAAAUGUUCUUCUUUGAAAUUUUGUUCUCAAUUUCAAAAAAUGUUCGUGUUUUGAAAAAAGCUCAGUAAAUUUAAAAAAUUGUUCUUGUUUUCAAAUAUUUUGGUACAUUCAUGUUUUGAGAAAAUGUUCAGGAAUUUCACAAAAUAAGCCUGUUUUAAAAUUUUAUUCACCAUUUCAAAAAAUGUUCGUGUUUCAGAAAGUCUUUUAGGAAUUUCAAAAAAUGUUCUUGUUUAAAUUUUGUCACAAUUUCAAAAAAUGUUCAUGUUUUAAAAAAUAUUCAUUUAUUUCCAAAAAAUGUUCUCAUUUUCAAAUAUUUAUUAUGUUCGUGUUUAAAAAAAUGUCCAUUAAUUUCAAAAAAAAUGUUCUCAUUUUGAAAUCUUUACUAUGUUCAUGUUUAAAAAAAUAUCUUUAUCAAAAUAUGUUCUGUAUGUCAUUCGUAGAAUGUUUAUGUUUCAGAAAAUGUACAGGAAUUUCAAAAUAUGUUGUCAUUUCCAAAAUUUGCUUACAAUUUUCAGAAAAAUGUUUGUGCUUCAAAAUAUGCUCAAGAAUUUCCGAAAAUGUUUCUUGUUUUCAAAAGAAAAUCACAAUGUCAGAAAAUUUUCAAUUUUUCCAAAAUUCUUCACCUUUUAGAAAACUGUUAGGUUCUGCAAAAAAAACGUCCGUGUUUUUCUAAAUUGGGAUUACAAAAAUUGUUAACAUUUCUUUAGGAAAAGAGUUGUGAAUAUCAGAAAAUAUUUGCUUCAUUUCGAAUUGUUCGAAUUUUUCAAGGAAUAUUUCUAAAAUGUUUUUUUGUAAAAUCUUGACCCUGCUAACUGUUGUUAUAGAGUUUGGCGCUUAAAUAUUCAGUAGCAUCAUUGUGGUCGAGUGGCUAGCUGGUGCUGGUUUAGUCUGUGUUGGGAGCGAGAUCGUGGGAUUGAAUCCACAUAAGUGUCUUUCGCGUCGAUGGGCCGGCCCACUCGUGCGUCGCCAGUGUGCGUCGACCUUCUGUUUGACGCACAAUGCGUCCUAUAGGAGCUCCCGUGUGCGCAAUGCAUGAGUCACGCAUACGCAUCCAUCGCUGAUGCAGUUAUUACCUUAGCCAAAAGAAAAAUCUAUCGAUCCAGUAGCAGAGGAAUCGGCGCCAUCCUUCCCCAAUCUGUUCGCAAGCAAGCCACCAGCCGGCUAGGGCUGAUUGCCAUUGGCCAUCGCCGCCUGAUCGCAUGCGCGUACGACGGCAGGCACUGGCGGGCGGGGCGACGACGCAUCCAUCCAGAUUCCAUAUUCCAACGGCAUGGCAUCCAUCCCUCGGCCCUCGCUCCCUCUUGUACUGAGCUCGGCAUGCAUAAGUCUUUGAUUUUAAAGCCACAUCCCACUGGUUCAACUACUUUGUCUAUUCAAGGUAUAAUUGCUGGAUGUGUUCAUGUGUCUUAAUACAUUACCGCAAUUUAAAGGUCACUCCUCUCAUCCCGAUUCUUAGUUGAACUAUAUUCAUCUAUUACUGCAGGCGCCAUCUUCUUCUUCUAUUGUCCAGUAGGCCGCAGGCUACACAAGUCUUAUCGAGCACCAAUAAUAAUGCAUAGGUACACCACUAAGUAAGUUAAUUUGACUAGUUUUCUUCCUAUUUAAUAAUACUAAAAAUACUUGUUUGCAAUCAAUUAUCGUUUGUUAUUUUCUAUCCUCAAUAUAUGUUAGAUGUUGCCACUCGAUAUGUUGAACGUUAGUAUUUCUAUACGGUGAAAAUUUUAAGUUAUGAUCAAUUAUUUGAAUCUAUUACAUUAUGCUAUAUCUUUGUGUAUUAUACAAUUUGUAUAAACUGGUACUAUAAUUAGUUAUACACCCCAAAACAAGGUUUUAGGCUUUUAAAAUAUUGGCUUUGAAAAUUUGAAUACACACUCUUGAAAUCUUGGGCCCGCCUUCACUCAUUGGCUCGUUGUGAGAACUUAGCAGUGCUACUACUGGUAUGGUUCUCCCAACCAGACACCAAUGUGUGAAGUAAGAAGAAUGAAACUUAAGGUCCAGCAUACCUUGCAGCGAGUGCAAGUGCAAAUGAUGGGUAAAGUUCACCCAUCAGCACUGGCCAACCUAGUUAGGAAGGCCUUGCUCUAGGUCAUGGCAAAAGGCGAGAUGGCCCAGGGCCCAGCCAAAAUAGGGCCCCAUGAUAUCGUCAGGGGCGGAGUCAGAAAUUUGACCAAUGGGUUCACUCAUUGACUCAUUGUGAGAACUUAGUGUGAAGUCCAAUUUUACACCCUCUUAGAGUGCAAGACAUACCGGCUGGAUGAAAUUAUAAAAUAACAUUUUUGAAAUUAUAGUCACUUGUUUACGUAUCGUGAAUUUGAGUGGAGGCUCAACUGAGACAUCUCUUGCAACUAGAAGCAUUUGUAUCACCACCGCGUUGAAAAGAGCAUAUGACUUGCCUGAAGUUCUCCUUCACAUGGCAUAAAGAGGUUCAAUAUAUGCACUUGAAAGUAGUGCUACUACUACUAUGGUUCUCCCAACCAGACACCGAAAUGUCUGAGGUAAGAACAAUCAAACUUGAGGCUCAAUGUACCUUGUAGGUAGUGCAAAUGAUGGUAAAGUUCAACCCAUAAGCACUGGCGAACCCAGUUAGGAAGGGCUGGCUCUAGGCCAUGGAAAGAAGUGAGACGGCCUAGGGCCCAGCCAAAAUAUGGCCGCAUGAUGUGCACAUAUCGUAGUGUGUAUAGCUAUAUGGGGGAACUGCACUACCACUUCCUUUUUUCGAGAAAACUACCUCGGUAAAUUUGAGUGGAGGCUCGACAGAGACAUCUCUUGCAACUACAAGCAUUUGAAUCACCAUUGCGUUGAAAAGAGCAUCUGACUUGAAUGAAGUUCUCCUUCACAUAGCAUGAGGGAAAAUGACACUAGGGUCCAAUAUAUGCAUCUUGCAAGUAGUGCUAAUACUGGUAUGGUUAUCCCAAGUAUGGGUGAUCUACUAGCAAGGCGUUCAAAUACCAUCCUUCUCGGUCUUAAAUAAAGGAAAAACAAAGUCAACAGCAUAUGCAACUAUGAUAGGUUUUCUACACAUACAAAGUAUAACAUUAUUACUUCUAAGAUGAUAUAAGUAUCUGCCCAAAAAACAAAAAAGAGCAUAAUCAAACAAUGGGAAGGACGAAGCAUGUAUUACCUCGGUGAUGAACUGGUGAAUUACCCUUAGCACCAAAACCUCCCAAACCUGUGGACCAAAUCUACUCUUAGUAUACAUCACCAAUAUAAUAAUAAUAAUAUAUUCUAUUAUGGACAGCUAUCCUGGAAAUUUCUACCUGCAUGUGAUGGGCUCAAUGAACAAUUCACAUUCAGGUCAAAAUGAUUAAGGGCACCAUUGUUUGGGCUACACGGAUUCUGAGAAUCAGUCGUUACUGUGGAUUCCUGAGAAUCAGAAGCAGAAUUUUCAAUUACCUUGCUAUUGGAUAGCUGUAGGAAUUGUGAGUGUUGCAAAAUGUCUGUGUUACCCAUGAAUGCUGACUGCUGAGUAUGGUGUUUGUUUGAUGAUUAAGAGCAAAUUAGCUGUUUUUGUUUGAGUUAAACUGAAAUGACAUGUAUGUACAACAAUUACACACAAACUGAUUUGGGCUCGGUUGAGUAAAAAUUAGCAAAGUUUGAAUCAUUUAAGACAUGUUUUUACUAGAAAUGUCAUGAUGGUGAACUAGAAAGUCCAAUCUAUUGCCUCACGAGUUGCUUACAUAUAUUCAAAAGAUGCACCAACCAUCAUCCUACAAGUAAAUAUGUAAAAAUCGACUCGAACCCCCAACAAGGCAUUAGCUAUUUAAAUCACUACUUCAUAGACAAAUCCACUAACACAGGGGCGAACGCAGGUUGAGCUCAGUGGGGGCAAAUGCCCCCUCCCGUAAUAUUAAGCCCAUGGUAUAAGGCCUUGCCCCCAUUAAGCCCAUACCCUUUGCCCCCACUCAUUUAUUUUUUCUGGUUAUUUUCCAAACAAAAGUCAGCCCAUAUGGCUUGGUCACGCAUGAACUACCAGUGGGCUUUGCAAAAUAGCGUACUAGCUUUUCCUUCCGUGAAUCGCAACGGAGUCCGGACGUGACGCGCCGCCUCUCUUCCGCCCAGUCGCCCAGACGAGAUGCGACGGGCGCCCUCGCCAGAUCGCCUUUGAGCUCUGGUAAUCAUCGUCGAUCUGCGUUGUACACGCUGUCGGCCGGUUGGCGUGCCGUUCUUUGAUCCAUGCGCCCUUGAUUAAUCAAGGUAAGCCCUAGACCUAGGUUCACUUCAUCUUUACAAUCUUCUGUUCUACUAGUUCUUAAAUCGGUGUUCUUUGUCAACUUUCAUGUUAGAAAACAGUGAGUUUUUUUCCUGGUGAAGGAACUACAACCUGAUUCGGAUAAUCGAUCAGCCUGUUUCUCAGUGCUACACGACAUCAAGAAGGAGCUGCAGAAAUUCCAAGGAUCUCAGGUCAUAUAUGCUAACCGCAAACAAAACAGGUUGGCACAUUGCCUCACGGCCAGAGCUAGGAGAAUGGGCGACAUGCAAUGGGUGGCGACUGUCCCGGAUGACCUGAAAGCAGUGCUAGCUGCCGACUGUUUGUUGGCUCAAGAGUAAUGUAAUUUGCUCUUUUUCCUCAAAAAAAAGAGAAAGCAGUGAGUUUUACUUCUUGACGAUGCAACCAAGGUGCUUCUGCGAUUUCAUAUAGAUCGGCUAAAGAAAAAAAUACAUGGUGGUGUGGUUUAUCAAAAGGGAAACUGGGACAAAAACUAAAAGAGAAAAAAGAAGAGAAAGUAAGGAAAAACAACUAUGUCGAUGCCGGUCGACAAAAAACACCAUUGAUGAAAUGAAGAGAUUUUUUUUUUCUUUUUUGCAAAAUCUACAACUGGCAACACUCACGAAUUUGUUGAUUUGAACUAACUUUGUAGGAAUCCAUCUAGUAGAAAAUAAAAUUUUAUGAAAAAAGUCGCCACUUGGACGAAACGGAAGGAGGUGAUGCGCUCAAGAUUAUUUCUCAUUAGAUUUUAACAUGCUUUCUCUUUACAAAUUGCAUGCUAUAAUUUGUGUUCAAGACUAAAAAACGGCAUAUUGAUAUUUUUCAAUUUACUGGGUCUUUAGUGAUUAGUUUAAUUUUACAUUAGCAAUGAACUUAUCGUAAUUAUGUGUGAUGAAAUUAUAUUAUAUAGAAAUAUAUGAUGUUUUUAUUAGGCGCUAUAUGUAUGCUUGUGUAGUUGUGUCGCUAGUUUUUAUAAAUGAUUUAGCCAUUAUUUUUAUUAGGCGCUAUAUGUAUGCUUGUGUAGUUGUGUCGCUAGUUUUUAUAAAUGAUUUAGCCAUUAGUUCUCACACAUACCUCUGUGAAAAAAAAGUCAUAUGCAUCUUUGCCCCCUCUCAGUUUUCAUCCUGGCUCCGCCCCUGCACUAACAAGCACUUGUUGUCACUAUGAGUUUGCUGUCACACAUCUACACACAUACUCACCUUCUUCGGAGAGAUGGAGCAGGAGGUCGGACGUCGGAGAAGUGGAGCAGGAGGUUGGGGAGGCCGGCGG
Molecule: long non-coding RNA, 6888 nt
Filed under: Triticum aestivum (bread wheat)
Lineage: Eukaryota; Viridiplantae; Streptophyta; Magnoliopsida; Poales; Poaceae
Description: long non-coding RNA (TAES_LNC005733)
Source: RNAcentral